AACGAACGCUGGCGGCAUGCUUAACACAUGCAAGUCGAACGAUCUCUUCGGAGAUAGUGGCGGACGGGUGAGUAACGCGUGGGAACCUGCCCCGAGGUACGGAAUAACUCAUGGAAAUGUGAGCUAAUACCGUAUGUGACCUGAGGGUGAAAGAUUUAUCGCCUUGGGAGGGGCCCGCGUCGGAUUAGGUAGUUGGUGGGGUAAUGGCCUACCAAGCCUGCGAUCCGUAGCUGGUCUGAGAGGAUGAUCAGCCACACUGGAACUUAGACACGGUCCAGACUCCUACGGGAGGCAGCAGUGGGGAAUAUUGGACAAUGGGGGCAACCCUGAUCCAGCAAUGCCGCGUGCGUGAUGAAGGCCUUAGGGUUGUAAAGCGCUUUCGGCGGGGAAGAUGAUGACGGUACCCGCAGAAGAAGCCCCGGCUAACUCCGUG
RNAcentral lists this ribosomal RNA (433 nucleotides) under uncultured bacterium. RNAcentral's name for it is "bacterial SSU rRNA". It matches the Rfam family "Bacterial small subunit ribosomal RNA", at positions 29 to 507 of the family's 1533-position model. The record is from RNAcentral.